CGGCCCCGUCCUUCCCUCCCGGUGAGCCGGUCCUGAGCGCGGCGGCCGCAGCAGCAGCAGCAGCAGCAGCAGCAGCAGCCAUAGCCAUAGCAACCCCUCUCCGCCCUCCUCCCAUGGAAGACUCGAUGGACAUGGACAUGAGCCCUCUGCGGCCCCAGAACUUCCUCUUCGGUUGUGAGUUGAAAGCUGACAAAGAUUAUCAUUUCAAGGUGGACAAUGAUGAGAACGAGCACCAGUUGUCUUUGAGAACGGUCAGUUUAGGAGCAGGUGCCAAAGAUGAACUGCAUGUCAUAGAAGCAGAGGCAUUGAAUUAUGAAGGCAGUCCAAUUAAAGUAACACUGGCAUCUUUGAAAAUGUCUGUGCAGCCCACGGUUUCUCUUGGUGGAUUCGAAAUCACUCCGCCAGUGGUUUUGAGGUUGAAGUGCGGUUCAGGCCCUGUUCAUGUCAGUGGACAGCAUCUAGUAGCUUUAGAGGAAGAUGCAGUGUCAGAUGAUGACGAAGAGGAAGAGGUGAAACUCGGAAAUCUGUCUGGCAAGCGACCUGCACCCGGAGUGGUUCCUAAGGUUCCGCAGAAAAAAGCAAAAUUGGCAGAACUGGCAGAGGAUGAGGAAGAGGAUGAUGAAGAUGAUGAGGAUGAUGAUGAAGAUGAAGAUGAAGAUGAUGACUUUGAGGAGGAAGAGAAGACUCCAGCCAAGAAAUCUGCCCGAGAUACUCCAGCAAAAAAUGCACAAAAAUCAAACCAGAAUGGAAAAGAUUCUAAGCCAUCCACACCAAAAUCGAAAGGUUCAGAGUCAUUCAAAAAACAACAAGAAAAAUCUCCAAGAACACCCAAAGGACCUUUAACUGUAGAUGAUGUGAAAGCAAAAAUGCAGGCCACCAUGGAAAAGUCCUGUGUGCUGCAAAUCCAGCAGAGGGCGUGCAUGCUUUUGCGAGCAUCUACUAAAAGUAACAAGUGACUUGAUGUUCUAAUCACACCACUUCGGGGAAAUAACGAAUACUUGGUGAUUUCAAGAGGUGGUGCCCUCCCAAAAGUGGAGGGCAAGUUUAUCAACUACGUAAAGAAUUGCUUCCGGAUGUCUGAUCAAGAGGCUAUUCAAGAUCUCUGGCUGUGGAGGAAGUCCCUUUAAAAAAAAACUGAACAGUUUGUUAAAAUUUUCAGUCGUAUUUCUGUAACAGUUUAUCUGGCUGUCCUUUUUAUAAUGCAGAGUGAGAACUUUCCCUACCGUGUCUGAUAAAUGUCGUCCAGAUUACUUUGCCAAGAAUGUGUUGUCCAAAAUGCCUGUUUAGUUUUUAAAAGAUGGAACUCCACCCUUUGCUCCACUUUAAGUAUGUAUGGAAUGUUAUGAUAGGGCAUAGUAGUAGUGGUGGUCAGACAAAUGGAAAUGGUGGGGAGACAAAAUAUACAUGUGAAAUAAAUUCAGUAUUUUAAUAAAGUAAUAUUGUUUCCUUAUUUCUGGGGGAUGGGGUUGUCUCUAAGCUUGUCAAAAUAUGAAGUGUUUCGAAUUUGAAGUGAUUCCUAAAAGCAGUUAUUCAAGUUGGAUGUGACUAUUUGAAUACAGAAAACUGAAAUAUCAGAUGAAAAGUUACUGGCAAUGAGGGUCAAAAGCAAAUUUAACUUGAGCUAUAAUAAUGUUAGGCCUGAGUUUGCUCUUUCAGAUGGAGCUGUCUUCAUGCCUUAUAGAAUUAACUACUUAAGCCUUUUUUGUUCUCUGGGGUGUCCAUCUUCUCUUUCUCUCCCCCCAGUCAACUUCACUAGCUUAGCUGGAGGGCAGUUUGAGAAAUGUAAAGCGAUAGAAAUCCUUUCACUUGUGCGUUUUCUCUCCCCCCACUCCCCAACCACCUGCCUUUUAAAAUAGAUAGAACUCAUUCCCUUUGUGGUGUGUCAUUACCCAGGUAGGUCAUUGUGGGUUGUUGAGUUAGGAUGCCUUCCUUAGUUACAGGAGCAGAGAAGCUAGCUUGAAGUGCUCAAAACCUUCCAUUAUGUUAUCUAAUUGACUCGAUUGCCACCUGUUUUUAUAACUAAUGGUUGCUGAAACUUCUCUGCUCCCUUGGAUAGAACUCAGCCUAGUCCUAUCAAGGACCCAAUUGUACUCCACUGUAAACAAGGUUCAGAUAAUGUCUUCAAUAUUUCUGUUACAUAACUUCAGCCAUCUGUUACACUGUCAUUCCUGGCUUUUGGACUAACCAAAAGUACCCAUUCAGAAGAACAAAAGCUGAUUUGAAGACCAGAACGGUCCAGCUGGAGACUACUUGGAUAAAUGACCACCUGUAUUUCUCACAUACUGUCAUACUGCUGGGAUCUAACAUCUAACUCAAAUGGUGGUUAAAUUGACUCUUUUUAAGGGGUUUGGAGGCCAAAGGGAAAUGAAAUGGGGGAGACUACUUUUCUACUUGGGAGGAGCUGGUAGCUGGUCUUAGAACAGCUACGGGUCCUGCACACAUGAAUUCGUACCCAUGCCCGGGCUUUCCUGACCCAGUUCUUUCUCCUAGACCUGCACUAUGUUGGUAGGGAUGAUUGGAUCAGGAGUUGGGUCUCCGGUGUUUGAACAGCUGACAAUAUAGGGGUUUCAGGAUUGCCUGUGAAAGGAAAUCCCACAUCCCAAAGACCAACUCGAGCUUUCAUUAGCCUAAGGCUAGCUUUGUUAUGGGGCCCAUCCCUAUUACGCUUCAGAAAUUUCAAAUCAGUUUUUGUAAUGGAGGCCAAGUGGGACCUGGAGGCAGGCUUAAAGUGGGUUCUGUGGCUCCAGCUUUUGGGUAGGAGCUGGGUAAGAUUGAUCGGGUGUUCUACUUCCCUGCUGAAGGUGAUGCUCACCCUCUAGCAAAUUCAUUCUCGGUAUGCCAGUACCACCCUACCUGAGGUAAAAGGUAUGAACUGGGAUAGGUUGAUGUCCCCCGUACAGAAGUCCACCUGAAUGUUUUCUUGUCUGAAGCAGAAGCUGAGUAUUGGAGACUGGCUGCUGCUUAGAUUUGUGAUGUCAAAGUACGAAGUAACGGCUGUUUAAAGAAAAUGAUGAGAAUGAGCUGAAUCUGAAGUCCCACUAAUAAUGGGGAAUUCCUGGGGCUGAUGAGCCAGGAAGAAAACUUGAAUUUGUAAGGCAUCAACCUUCCCCUAGGGAAGUAGAGUGAUCCAGUGUGGGUAGAGCAUAGGCCAGGGAGUCGGGGCCUGGGUUCUCAUUCUAGCUCUAUAUUUCACCUGCCGUUUGACCUUGGUUAAGUCUGCCUCAGUUUCCUCACCUGUAAAAUGGGAAUUAAGGCUGAGCCCCAUGUGGGCUUAAGCUUGUAUCUAUCCCAGUGCUCAGUGCAGGGCCUUGCACAUAAUAAGCACUGGAAAAAAGUUACUGUGAACUGCUGCUCUCAAUUUAUUUGCUUCUAUCAAGGAUAUUUCUCAAUUUUUGGUUUUUUUGCCCAUUACAGACAAAUACCUAAUCACUCUUGGAGGCCUGAGGCAAGCUUGUCCUUGUUUAGGAUUUUUCUGGAUGUGAUUGCUGGCCUAAAAAAAAUAACAAGGUAUCCAGACCCUUUAUUCUCUUGUCCUUGCAGUAGCUGACCUACCUGUUUGCCAUUUGUCAUGAGUAUAUAGAAUUUAAGUUGGCUACUCAUAUACAUAUCCAUCUUUUCAUUUUUCUUACUAUCUGUAAUGUGUUGCCUUAUCCCUUAUUAGAUUGUAAACCCCUCGAGGGUUGGGAUUGUAUCUUCUAACCAUUGUACUCCAAUGUUUAGUACAGUGCAUGGCACCCAGGUGCUCAAUAAAUACUAUUACUUGAUUGCUU
RNA transcript from Ornithorhynchus anatinus (platypus), 3770 nucleotides. It is a transcript of the gene named nucleophosmin 1, with no coding region annotated. The record is from RefSeq and is a predicted model, not a curated record. NCBI's taxonomy places the organism in Eukaryota, Metazoa, Chordata, Mammalia, Monotremata, Ornithorhynchidae. The transcript has 12 exons.